Molecule: ribosomal RNA, 253 nt
Filed under: uncultured prokaryote
Description: partial 16S ribosomal RNA
Rfam family: Bacterial small subunit ribosomal RNA
Source: RNAcentral
AACGUAGGUUCCGAGCGUUAUCCGGAUUUACUGGGCGUAAAGCGCGUUCAGGCGGUUUGGCAAGUCGGGCAUGAAAUCCUUCGGCUCAACCGGGGGAGGUUGUCCGAUACUGCUGAACUGGAGGGCAGUAGAGGGUGGUGGAAUUCCGGGUGUAGUGGUGAAAUGCGUAGAGAUCCGGAGGAACACCAGUGGCGAAAGCGGCCACCUGGACUGUACCUGACGCUGAAACGCGAAAGCUAGGGGAGCGAACGGG